CCUGAGAUUGCGCAGCGGAAGCGUGGUGGGCCCAUAACCCACAGGUCCCAGGUUCUUUUCCUUGUUAAAACC
Molecule: transfer RNA, 72 nt
Filed under: Helianthus annuus (common sunflower)
Lineage: Eukaryota; Viridiplantae; Streptophyta; Magnoliopsida; Asterales; Asteraceae
Description: tRNA HanXRQr2_Chr13g0568691
Source: RNAcentral